AUGGGUGUCAACAAUCUCCUCUCGAAGCGGGUAUCCACAGCCUGCCAAUGGUAUGAUUCUCUUUCCGUCUUUAUUUUCAUUGAAGUUACAUACGCACAGAUUUUUAAGUGCCAAAUUGUUCUGUUUUUUUUUUUUUCUUUUUUUGCAGAAAAACAGCGAUCUCCCCAGUUUCCCCUCCCUAGAGGCAACCACUUUCAGCUCUUGUGGCAGAAAAUAAUUCCAAGAUAAAGAUAAACUGUGACACAAAGGGAUUAAUUUGUCCAAAGUUGCAAAAAGAGAAAAUGAAAGAAUCGGGCUUCUGACCCCCUCUGCUGUAGCUGCCUUCAACACACAGAAACGUGAGGUUUCUCCCGUAAUAUCCUUGCUUUUGGUCUCUGCAAGCCUUCAUGUACUCUGGUCCCUCUUAGUCUAUUAGUCAGCAAGUUCACAUUCAGCAUUCACACGUGUGCAGAAUCGCUGUGUUCACUGUGGAGGCCUGAAGAUUCCUUCCAGGAGUGUAGACUCUACAAACAGAAGGCUCUGCCAAUCUGGAAAUGAGCAUUUGGGUACAGAAUGCUGUCCUCAUUAGAACAGGAAAAGCACAGUGAGAUCUGGGCGCUCAGAAGUCACGGACAGCACAUCUGUGAUGGCUAUCCAGGGGUGUGCUUAGUCUCUGUGUCCCCCAGGUGGAUCUGUCACUUCUCUCCCACCUCUAUGAUUGUUUUGUAUGGCAUCCUGAAUUUUAGCUGCUGCUGUGCUGUUUUAAACUCU
RNAcentral lists this long non-coding RNA (750 nucleotides) under Oryctolagus cuniculus (rabbit). Its description in RNAcentral is "lncRNA (ENSOCUG00000037726.1)". Lineage: Eukaryota; Metazoa; Chordata; Mammalia; Lagomorpha; Leporidae. The record is from RNAcentral.